This 236-nucleotide long non-coding RNA is filed under the name Theropithecus gelada (gelada). RNAcentral's name for it is "lncRNA (ENSTGEG00000028759.1)". The record is from RNAcentral. Lineage: Eukaryota; Metazoa; Chordata; Mammalia; Primates; Cercopithecidae.
CGGCGGCGUCCAGAGGGCAGCGGCGGCGGCGGCGUCUCGGCGACGGUUCCCUGGUCGCCCCCGGCUCCUGCUCCCUGAGCCCGGGUUUCAUCACCUUAAAUGGUUUUGAACCAAUGAAGCUGUAUUCCCUUAAAAAGACGGACAGCCCAUCGUGUGAACUAUAGAGUUUGUGGACAGACUUAUAUUGGUGAGUUAUUGUGAAAUAUCUCCAGGUAAAAGUUCAGUUUUCUAGAAUC